RNAcentral lists this Y RNA (96 nucleotides) under Microcebus murinus (gray mouse lemur). RNAcentral describes it as "Y RNA (ENSMICG00000046644.1)". It matches the Rfam family "Y RNA". From Rfam's summary of the family: Y RNAs are components of the Ro ribonucleoprotein particle (Ro RNP), in association with Ro60 and La proteins. The Y RNAs and Ro60 and La proteins are well conserved, but the function of the Ro RNP is not known. In humans the RNA component can be one of four small RNAs -- hY1, hY3, hY4 and hY5. Lineage: Eukaryota; Metazoa; Chordata; Mammalia; Primates; Cheirogaleidae. The record is from Rfam by way of RNAcentral.
GGCUGGUCCGAUGGUAGUGGGUUAUCAGAACUUAUUAACAUUAGUGUCACUCAUGUGGGUCUACAAACCCCCACUGCUGAAUUUGACCAGCUAAAU